CGUCUAUAUACGUAUAGCAUAUCAAUAAGCGGAGGAAAAGAAACUAACUAGGAUUCCCUCAGUAACGGCGAGUGAAGCGGGAAGAGCUCAAAUUUGAAAUCUUCAAGGUUCUACCUUGACGAAUUGUAGUUUAAAGAAGUGUUUUCUGUUGGAGUUUUGGUAAAAGUUCUUUGGAAUAGGACAUCAUAGAGGGUGAGAAUCCCGUAUUUGACCAUUACUUUCCAGCGUUGUGAUACACUUUCAAAGAGUCGGAUUGUUUGGGAAUGCAGUCCAAAAUGGGUGGUAAAUUUCAUCUAAAGCUAAAUAUUGGCGAGAGACCGAUAGCGAACAAGUACCGUGAGGGAAAGAUGAAAAGAACUUUGAAAAGAGAGUUAAACAGUACGUGAAAUUGUCAAAAGGGAAGCGUUUGACACCAGUGUUGUUUUCUCGAAAAUCAAUUAAAAAUGGUUGGAUUUUGUAUUGUUAAGACCUUAUCAGCUUACUGUACUCUUUUCUUGCCUUUUUUAAUGCACUUUUCGUUUAACAAGUCAACAUCAAUUUCUUUUGUUGUAAAAGAGUCAUUGGAAGGUGGCUUUCAUUUCGGUGAAAGUGUUUAUAGCCUUGUGCCUCUGCAAUCGGAGAGAUUGAGGUCUGCAGCGUAGAUCCUUCGGGGUUAGAUACGUUUGUGCUAAGUUAUAGCUUUUCAUAGACAACUUGUUGACUAUGAUCAGUCAUGUAGCUUACUCGCUUAUGCUAUUUUACCUACGCUUAGGAUGUUGACGAGACUGUCGAUCUCAUCUAUACAUGGCUCUGUGCAUAUCAAUAAGCGGAGGAAAAGGAUGUUGAUACCUACGCUUAGGAUGUUGACACACGCGCGUGCUCG
This 862-nucleotide ribosomal RNA is filed under the name uncultured Neocallimastigales. Its description in RNAcentral is "partial large subunit ribosomal RNA". It matches the Rfam family "Eukaryotic large subunit ribosomal RNA", at positions 26 to 694 of the family's 3401-position model. The record is from RNAcentral. Lineage: Eukaryota; Fungi; Neocallimastigomycota; Neocallimastigomycetes; Neocallimastigales.